RNAcentral lists this long non-coding RNA (342 nucleotides) under Arachis ipaensis. RNAcentral's name for it is "long non-coding RNA (AIPA_LNC001426)". The record is from RNAcentral. Lineage: Eukaryota; Viridiplantae; Streptophyta; Magnoliopsida; Fabales; Fabaceae.
AAUAGGAAGAGCUGUAUGCAACUUGUUUGCAUUGGAGGGUGCCACCGUGGCCUUCACCUACGUGAAGGGCCACGAAGACAAGGACGCGAAGGACACCCUUGAGAUGAUCAACAGGGCCAAGACUCAGGAUGCCAUGGACCCCAAGGCCAUAGCUGCUGACUUAGGCUAUGAUGAGAACUGCAAGAAGGUCAUCGAAGAGGUGGUCAACGCUUAUGGCAGAAUUGACAUCUUGGUCAACAAUGCUGCUGAGCAGUACGAGAAUAUAACUAUUGAGGAGAUUGACGAUCCAAGGCUUGAAAGGGUUUUCCGCACUAACAUCUUCUCAUACUUCUUUAUGACCAG